Long non-coding RNA from Hippocampus comes (tiger tail seahorse), 1069 nucleotides. RefSeq lists it as uncharacterized. The record is from RefSeq and is a predicted model, not a curated record. The transcript is spliced from 2 exons. Lineage: Eukaryota; Metazoa; Chordata; Actinopteri; Syngnathiformes; Syngnathidae.
UUAACAGCUAACUCACAAGGAGAAACCCAAAGCUAAAACAACCAAAUUUUCUGUUUUAGCAAUCAAGCUAAAAGAGGCAUGACUUGAGCAACUACAAAUAUCCAUCAGUCACGUGUUCCAGUACUUUUGCUCACUUCAAACGCGGGUGGCUUCAAACAAAAGAUGCCCUCUCCUGAUUUGUUGAACACGCCUAAAUCUAAAUACCACAAAUUAAAAGCUGGAAUUCAGAAGUGUUGUUUCAUAUUCAUAUUUUGAUCUGAAACCCAAAUGUCCUCAGUAUACAAGAAAAAACAAAUGAACAGAGCUUGCCGCUCCACUACUUUUGGAGGGGACUCGAUACUGUGCCUGAACGUUUUCAGAAAAAACACAUUUUUCUAGCCAGAGAAACUUGUUUCCUUACCUCUUAGUUUCAUGUCGUUCAUAUUGUAAAACAGAAGGGAGCCCCCCGAGGACAUUUGUUGUUUGUAUGCUCCUUAAUGUGCCAGUAUAGCUGCAAACCACACCUCCAAGAAAACCCGCAGCCUAACAUUGCAUGCUUAGACGGUGUUACAUGACUCUUACAUGACUGAUGAUCAUCAGAGUUGUUUUUGAAGUCAACUGAAGCAAGUUUAAACCUCGACUUAUUACCAUUAAUUGUCAGUCAGGUGGAAAAACAAGUUUCACAUUGUGACAGACAACUCAAGUCAAAGAGAAACAGCAAACUCCUUUUCUGCUCAUUCACGUGCUUAUUGUUAGCCUUUUUGCUGUUGGUUUUCUGCUAUUUAUGUUAGCAUCUGCUAUUAAAAAAAAAAAACCCAAACAAAGAAAAUUUGAGGGUUUUUGAAUAAGAGCAUAAAGCAACGGUCUGAACUGCUUUCUUGUUUUUGACUCGGCUGCUUGGUUUCCACUCCAAAAAUUAAGAAAAGUCUGAACUAAGUACAGUCGGAGCUAGCUAGCAAAUGUGUCUGUUAGCUGGCUGGAUUUGAGGGGGGAAAAGCCACUUAAUAGCCACAAAAUAUGCAACUUUUUUCAAUCAUGGUUAGUAAGUAGAUAGCAAGCUAAUUACUUUGCUAGCUGACAGGCAAACAAA